UCCGCACUGGAUAGCGGACAGCGACACGCCAAGAUCAGUAUCGAUAUUUCGUUGUGGAUUGUAAUACAGAGCUUGGAUCUUUUCCCUUCUUCCGCGAGGAUAUCAAUUUUUGUUGGAAUUAUCCUGGAUUUUUGGUGGACGGACGAAGAUUUAGCCGUAUUUUGCGUUGUGUGUAGUCUACUCUAACAGAAGAGCGGUAAUAGCACACACACACUCCAGAAACGCCCUCAUCUCUGGUGAGAUGACUGAACUGCCACAACCAUAGAACGUCAGCAUGAACCGAAUCAAAAACUAGCGUGGACAGAGUGGAUGCAAUGAGGCACGCACACUACAGCUUCUCAAACAUGGGAUGGUAAGACGGGCUUCAGGUGUCUGAGCUGACCUACGGAGCAGCAGCAGCAGCAGCCUUAGUUAUUACAGUAAAAAAACUAAGCAUGACAAGCUACAGAUGGUACAGAUAUGCAUACGUGGGGCAGUGAGGAGCUUCAUGUGUACUUGGACUGCUCUGGCAUCAGGACCCACCAUCACUCCUUAAUACAAGCUGCAACCCAAAUUGUGGAAACUGUUGAACUUCUCUAAGUUCUUCAAAAACAUUGGUAGAUUUGAGUAUGACAUAAUGGGUUUGCAAAAACUCAUUAAUCUACGAACACACAGCUCACAGAUGUGAAACAAUUCAAUACAAUACAAUACAUUUUCAGUAGAAAUUAUAAGGUAAACCUACAAAUAGGUCUUUUGAUUACCUCUUUUCCAAAUACCUACUGUCUUGUAUGACUCAGGUCAAAAUUAUUGCCCCUUCAGAUACAAACAACAAGCUCUCCUUAAUGAUCUCUGAUGCACAAAUCCUGACAAACAAGUGUCACAGUUUUGUUUAGUGAAGAGCUGUCAUUGCCAUCACACCUGGAUUAUUUAUGCUCUUCUCUGUAACCUCUGCCAACAAGUGUCACACCAUUUUCAAGUAUUUAGCCUAGAAUCACAUCUAAAAGCAGUCAGUAAAGGACAACCCAGGCCUGUCCUGUAAU
Molecule: long non-coding RNA, 1019 nt
Filed under: Gouania willdenowi (blunt-snouted clingfish)
Lineage: Eukaryota; Metazoa; Chordata; Actinopteri; Blenniiformes; Gobiesocidae
Description: lncRNA (ENSGWIG00000022268.1)
Source: RNAcentral